CAGUCGCCACGGUAAUACGGAGGGGGCUAGCGUUGUUCGGAAUUACUGGGCGUAAAGCGCACGUAGGCGGCUUGGUAAGUUAGAGGUGAAAGCCCGGAGCUCAACUCCGGAAUUGCCUUUAAGACUGCCGAGCUAGUAGGUGAGAGAGGUAAGUGGAAUUCCGAGUGUAGAGGUGAAAUUCGUAGAUAUUCGGAAGAACACCAGUGGCGAAGGCGGCUUACUGGCUCAUUCCAGACGCUGAGGUGCGAAAGCGUGGGGAGCAAACAGGAUUAGAUACCCCAGUAGUCCCUGUCUCUUAUAC
RNAcentral lists this ribosomal RNA (301 nucleotides) under uncultured bacterium. Its description in RNAcentral is "partial 16S ribosomal RNA". It matches the Rfam family "Bacterial small subunit ribosomal RNA", at positions 509 to 807 of the family's 1533-position model. The record is from RNAcentral.